UAGUGUAGAACUACUAUACUAUCGAAAAUAUAGAGGAUUUGAUGUUUCUGAAUUUUUGACCCUUUGAUUAAAAAUUAUAUGGUUGGGAUGAUUGCGGUCCCCCUUAGGAUUAAAUAAUACCCCUAUGAUUGAGUGGUCCCUGCAAAGUAAUAAUAGUAUUAAUCCAAAGAUAAGAAAUGAUUAAAGGGAUUGAUCUAAGAAUCAAAAAAUCGAAAGCACCAAAUCCUCUAUAUUUUCGAUAACACGCGCGCGCGCGCACACACACACACACAUAUAUAUAUAUAUAUAUAUAUAUAUAUAUAGAGAGAGAGAGAGAGAGAGAGAGAGAGAGAGAGAGAGAGAGUCCGGCUAUGGUGCUUGUAAAAGUACCAAGCACUUGAUGCUUGUAUAUUUUUUACCGUUAGAUCUCUACCUUUGAUCAUUUUUACCCAUUAGAUUAUACUAUUCAACUAACCACCCACUCAACCCUAGGAGGCCCACAUCAUCCUAACCGCACAUCCUUUAAUCCAAGAGCCAAAAACUUUCAAGCACUAAUGACUUGGUACUUUUAAAAGCAUAGGAGCUCAAUUCUAUAUAUAUAUAUAUAGAGUUGAGCUGGAAUGCUAUCGGUAGCAAACGGGCUCCGUUGCCACCCAUUUGUUUUCAAUGAUGGAGCUUUCAAAUCGACGAUCAGCACCGUUGAACAUGAUCUAUAUCACUUGAAGUAU
This 707-nucleotide long non-coding RNA is filed under the name Ananas comosus (pineapple). RNAcentral describes it as "long non-coding RNA (ACOM_LNC041050)". Lineage: Eukaryota; Viridiplantae; Streptophyta; Magnoliopsida; Poales; Bromeliaceae. The record is from RNAcentral.